GAAAUGCGAUACGUAAUGCGAAUUGCAGAAUUCAGUGAAUCAUCGAAUCUUUGAACGCAAAUUGCGCUCCCGGGUUACCCCCGAGAGCACACCUCUCUGAGUGUCGGUUUAACCAAAUGUCACCAAUUUAUUGGUGUACGACAGACUGAGGGUAAGGAGUCUCGGCUUCUUUCCCUUUAAAUCUCAGCCGCACGACUGUGUGUGUUCGUGGCAAGUUGCUUUCACUUAACUGUGAAUCCAAUCCAUGAACCCUAUGUUACUGCAGCCAAAGAAACAAAUGAACAGAGUUGUGAACUUGAGAGCAUGUGAGGUAGUAAUUAAGUUUCGGCUUGGUUGUUGCUGAUCAUGUUUUUGGGGGAACGUCUCUGGACAUCUAUGAAUUAGACCUCAGAUGAAGUGG
Molecule: unclassified non-coding RNA, 400 nt
Filed under: uncultured fungus
Lineage: Eukaryota; Fungi
Description: sequence contains ITS1
Rfam family: 5.8S ribosomal RNA (bases 1-106)
Source: RNAcentral